RNAcentral lists this ribosomal RNA (254 nucleotides) under uncultured prokaryote. RNAcentral describes it as "partial 16S ribosomal RNA". It matches the Rfam family "Bacterial small subunit ribosomal RNA", at positions 524 to 777 of the family's 1533-position model. The record is from RNAcentral.
UACGGAGGAUGCAAGCGUUAUCCGGAUUUAUUGGGUUUAAAGGGUGCGCAGGUUGUUUGAUAAGUCAGUGGUGAAAGUCUGUCGCUUAACGGUAGGAUUGCCAUUGAUACUGUUGGACUUGAAUAUGGAUGAGGUAGGCAGAAUGUGUAGUGUAGCGGUGAAAUGCAUAGAUAUUACACAGAACACCGAUUGCGAAGGCAGCUUACUAAUCCAUCAUUGACGCUGAGGCACGAAAGCGUGGGGAUCAAACAGGA